This 439-nucleotide unclassified non-coding RNA is filed under the name Hevea brasiliensis (rubber tree). Lineage: Eukaryota; Viridiplantae; Streptophyta; Magnoliopsida; Malpighiales; Euphorbiaceae. The record is from RNAcentral.
GGCACAAUCAUUGGUCCUCACAAUGUGAUUACUCUUUCUCUCUCUCUUUCUCUUCUCAUGUGUCAGUGUAUGUAUGUGUGCCUGUGUGUGUAAUAGUUAUUGCCAAACAUUUCCAGCAGGUGAACCAUUGUGUUCAUGCAUGUACAUAUACACAUUCUAUCUAUUUCAAUUUAUCAUUGGAUUUGAUUAAUUGUGAAUUUGCAGUGGCUUAUGGCCAAAGAAAGCAAAAAAAUGUGCCAUCUGGAUUGCUGAUAUGUAUUUAACUUGUACUUACCCCUAAGGUUCUGAAUUUUAGAUGGUGUCAGAAUUACUAUGGAUAGGGUUUCAACCUGUCUAUUCAGUGUAACUUAUGUUAUUUCAACUUUUCUCACUUCUUUUUUCAAUUUUUAUUAAUAGCAAUUGGCCUGUAGGUACAGGCUGUCCUUUAUUUUCCCUUUUU